This 403-nucleotide small RNA is filed under the name Malus domestica (apple). The record is from RNAcentral. Lineage: Eukaryota; Viridiplantae; Streptophyta; Magnoliopsida; Rosales; Rosaceae.
UUUUGGGAACUCACUGACUUUAGGUUCCAUCGGAACUCCGAAGUUAAGCGAGUUUGGGUGAGAGCGGUCCUAGGAUGGGUGACUCAUUAGGAAAUUCUGUUUGCGUGAGUUCUCUGGAUCCCAGGUUGGGAUGUGAUAAUUUGGUAUCAGAACCAAUCCAUGGGCGGCCGAAAGUGUGCCAACGAGGACGUCGGGCCCCUAAAGGAGGUGGAUUGUUAGAUCCCACAUCGCCUAGGGAAGUGGAUCAUAUAUGCCUUAUAUGUACAUGCUCACCUCUUCCAAACACAAGGUCUUUUGGGAACUCACUGGUUUCGGGUUCUAUCGGAACUCCGAAGUUAAGCGAGUUCGAGUGAGAGUGGUCCUAGGAUGGAUAACCCACUGAGAAGUUCUGCUCGCGUGAGUC